Drosophila pseudoobscura is the source of this 600-nucleotide long non-coding RNA. RefSeq lists it as uncharacterized. Lineage: Eukaryota; Metazoa; Arthropoda; Insecta; Diptera; Drosophilidae. The transcript has 2 exons. The record is from RefSeq and is a predicted model, not a curated record.
AUUUUUAAGAAAAUUUUAGAAACUUCUAUACGCAGGUGCUUUGAAUUUCCACUCUCAAAUCGAACUUACGUGCAUAAUUUGUUUCAAUGGAUUGCACUUAAAUCCUUUUCGCUUAUUCACUUUCAAACCAUGAUGCAAUUAUACAAGCUGGUCUCGUGGGGAGCCGAAGUUCGUUCGUGUUGUCCCUUAUCGUUAGUGCGUGAUUGAUUAUUGAUGUAGAAGGUUGUUCGCGUUCGAAUUUUUUAUACAGUUUUAACCCUUACGUGCCACCAACAAAAAUGACAUACUGCACUUUUUGCCGAAAUCAUGUUCCGGGAGUAAAAUUUAUUCAUGCUCCGAAAUGUGCAGUGAAGCGGAAGUUGUGGGAGCAAAGCCUCGGGUGCAGCCUUGGCGCUCAUUCUAAAAUAUACGAUACUCACUUCAAAGCUUCCCAGUGGAAGUCUGCACCUAACAAAGGGCAGACUUAUAAAAGGAGGAGAUUGAUUGAUAACGCCGUUCCGGAUAGAGAGGACGAAAGUUUAAAAGAUGGUUUCGUCAAUUCGAACACGCAAACAGAGGACGAAAUGAUAAAUCAUGCAAUGUUCAAGGAAAACGAGUGCC